This 272-nucleotide long non-coding RNA is filed under the name Oryza brachyantha (malo sina). RNAcentral describes it as "long non-coding RNA (OBRA_LNC000178)". Lineage: Eukaryota; Viridiplantae; Streptophyta; Magnoliopsida; Poales; Poaceae. The record is from RNAcentral.
CCGCGCCGCGAGCCCGCAGGGUGUCAUCUCCGGCCGGUGGUGAGCUCUAGCGCCGCGCGGCGCGGCGGGGGGCGGAACGGAAGCCGAGCGAGGAGGAGGGAAGAGUGCGAAGAGGUAGGGAGGGAGGGGGCAGUGCGGGCAGGGGAAAGGCGAAGGCUGGGGCGAGGGUCCGGGCAGGUCGGGCAGAGAGCGGAGUGAGAAUUUGGCAAAGAAACCGAGGGAGGCAGAGAGAGAGAGACGCCGCCUUCUUAUGGCCGCCGUCUACAGGGGCC